UGUUAAAGUGGCAGAGUAGUGCAAGGAAUUUAAGCUUCCUAUAUGAGUAUUCCUUUAAUAG
This 61-nucleotide transfer RNA is filed under the name Ornithodoros coriaceus. RNAcentral describes it as "tRNA-Leu". Lineage: Eukaryota; Metazoa; Arthropoda; Arachnida; Ixodida; Argasidae. The record is from RNAcentral.